This 497-nucleotide ribosomal RNA is filed under the name uncultured bacterium. Its description in RNAcentral is "partial 16S ribosomal RNA". It matches the Rfam family "Bacterial small subunit ribosomal RNA", at positions 28 to 507 of the family's 1533-position model. The record is from RNAcentral.
GAUGAACGCUGGCGGCGUGCCUAAUACAUGCAAGUCGAGCGAACAGACGCGGAGCUUGCUCCUCUGACGUUAGCGGCGGGCGGGUGAGUAACACGUGGAUCACCUCCCUAUAAGACUGGUAUCACUUCGGGAAACCGGAGCUAAUACCGGAUAAUAUAUUGAACCGCAUGGUUCAAUAGUGAAAGUCGGUUUUGCUGUCACUUAUAGAUGGAUCCGCGCCGCAUUAGCUGGUUGGUAAGGUCACGGCUUACAACGGCAACGAUGCGUAGGCGACGUGAGAGGGGGAUCGGCCACACUGGAACUGGGCCACGGACCAGACGCCUACGGUAGGCAGCAGUCGGGAACCUUCCGCAAUGGGCGAAAGCAUGACGGAGCAACGCCGAGUGAGUGAUGAAGGUCUUCGGAGCGUAAUACCCUGUUAUUAGGUAAGAACAAAUUUGUCAGUAAAUAUGCACGUCUUGACGGUACCUAAUCAGAAAGCCACGGCUAACUACGUG